This 246-nucleotide small RNA is filed under the name Arabidopsis thaliana (thale cress). Its description in RNAcentral is "ATSL269670". Lineage: Eukaryota; Viridiplantae; Streptophyta; Magnoliopsida; Brassicales; Brassicaceae. The record is from RNAcentral.
AUAAAGACUUUAGCUAUACCAUCAAAGCCUUGAGAAGCAAGAAGAAGCUUGGUUAGUGUUUUGGAGUCAAAGAUUACUAAGUGUCAUGUGUAUGAGUGAGUAUGACAACUAGAACCAUAACCAGAUCUUAAAAACCUAAGUAUUGAAUUUUUGUUAGAAGAUACACUAUCAAAGCUUUGAGAAGCAAGAAGAAGCUUGGUUAGUGUUUUGGAUUCGAAUAUUACUUGAUGUCAUGUGUAUGAAUCA